RNAcentral lists this ribosomal RNA (253 nucleotides) under uncultured bacterium. Its description in RNAcentral is "partial 16S ribosomal RNA". It matches the Rfam family "Bacterial small subunit ribosomal RNA", at positions 524 to 776 of the family's 1533-position model. The record is from RNAcentral.
GACGGAGGGUGCAAGCGUUGCUCGGAAUCACUGGGCGUAAAGGGUGCGUAGGCGGGUCUUUAAGUCAGGGGUGAAAUCCUGGAGCUCAACUCCAGAACUGCCUUUGAUACUGAGGAUCUUGAGUUCGGGAGAGGUGAGUGGAACUGCGAGUGUAGAGGUGAAAUUCGUAGAUAUUCGCAAGAACACCAGUGGCGAAGGCGGCUCACUGGCCCGAUACUGACGCUGAGGCACGAAAGCGUGGGGAGCAAACAGG